AACGAUAUAGUUAAAGUUAUAAUAAUAGAUUGUCAAUUUAUAGUUGCUUAAUUAUAGCUAUCGUUU
RNAcentral lists this transfer RNA (66 nucleotides) under Perumytilus purpuratus. RNAcentral describes it as "tRNA-Asp". It matches the Rfam family "tRNA". Rfam says of the family: Transfer RNA (tRNA) molecules are approximately 80 nucleotides in length. Their secondary structure includes four short double-helical elements and three loops (D, anti-codon, and T loops). The record is from RNAcentral. Lineage: Eukaryota; Metazoa; Mollusca; Bivalvia; Mytilida; Mytilidae.